UAGUGGCGAACGGGUGAGUAACACGUAAGUAACCUACCUUUAAGACGAGGAUAACAAUCGGAAACGGUUGCUAAGACUGGAUAGGAAACAGAAAGGCAUCUUUUUGUUUUUAAAAGACCUUCUUCGGAGGGUAUGCUUAAAGAGGGGCUUGCGCCACAUUAGUUAGUUGGUGAGGUAAAGGCUUACCAAGAUUAUGAUGUGUAGCUGGACUGAGAGGUUGAACAGCCACAUUGGGACUGAGACACGGCCCAAACUCCUACGGGAGGCAGCAGUAGGGAAUUUUCGGCAAUGGAGGAAACUCUGACCGAGCGACGCCGCGUGAACGAUGAAGUAUUUCGGUAUGUAAAGUUCUUUUAUUGAAGAAGAAAAAAUAGUGGAAAAACUAUCUUGACGUUAUUCAAUGAAUAAGCCCCGGCUAACUAUGUGCCAGCAGCCGCGGUAAGACAUAGGGGGCGAGCGUUAUCCGGAAUUAUUGGGCGUAAAGGGUGCGUAGGCGGUUAGAUAAGUCUAUAAUUUAAUUUCAGUGCUUAACGCUGUCUUGUUAUAGAAACUGUCUUGACUAGAGUGAGAUAGAGGCAAGCGGAAUUCCAUGUGUAGCGGUAAAAUGUGUAAAUAUAUGGAGGAACACCAGAAGCGUAGGCGGCUUGCUGGGUCUUUACUGACGCUGAGGCACGAAAGCGUGGGGAGCAAACAGGAUUAGAUACCCUGGUAGUCCACGCUGUAAACGAUGAGUACUAAGUGUCGGGGAAACUCGGUACUGAAGUUAACACAUUAAGUACUCCGCCUGAGUAGUACGUACGCAAGUAUGAAACUUAAAGGAAUUGACGGGACUCCGCACAAGCGGUGGAUCAUGUUGUUUAAUUCGAAGAUACACGAAAAACCUUACCAGGUCUUGACAUACUCUGCAAAGCUAUAGAAAUAUAGUGGAGGUUAUCAGGGAUACAGGUGGUGCAUGGUUGUCGUCAGUUCGUGUCGUGAGAUGUUAGGUUAAGUCCUAAAACGAACGCAACCCCUGUCGCUAGUUGCCAGCACGUAAUGGUGGGGACUUUAGCGAGACUGCCAAUUAAACAUUGGAGGAAGGUGGGGAUAACGUCAAAUCAUCAUGCCCCUUAUGAUCUGGGCUACAAACGUGAUACAAUGGCUAUUACAAAGAGUAGCUGAAACGCGAGUUUUUAGCCAAUCUCAAAAAGGUAGUCUCAGUACGGAUUGAAGUCUGCAACUCGACUUCAUGAAGCUGGAAUCGCUAGUAAUCGCGAAUCAGCAUGUCGCGGUGAAUACGUUCUCGGGGUUUGUACACACCGCCCGUCAAACCACGAAAGUUAGCAAUACCCGAAAGCAGUGGCUUAACUUCGCAAGAAGAGGGAGCUGUCUAAGGUAGGGUUGAUGAUUGGGGUUAAGUCGUAACAAGGUAUCCUUACCGGAAGGUGAGGAUGGAUCACCUCCUUU
This 1446-nucleotide ribosomal RNA is filed under the name Candidatus Phytoplasma ulmi. Its description in RNAcentral is "16S ribosomal RNA". It matches the Rfam family "Bacterial small subunit ribosomal RNA". Lineage: Bacteria; Bacillati; Mycoplasmatota; Mollicutes; Acholeplasmatales; Acholeplasmataceae. The record is from RNAcentral.